Molecule: long non-coding RNA, 3461 nt
Organism: Globicephala melas (long-finned pilot whale)
Lineage: Eukaryota; Metazoa; Chordata; Mammalia; Artiodactyla; Delphinidae
Source: RefSeq, a predicted model, not a curated record
ACCGGGGGCCUGCAAAGAAGCAUUGAGUGCUUUGGGCACUGAUCCAUGAGAUGUCCUCAGUCUAAUCAGCGUGGUGGGAACGCAAGGAAAUGUCCUUGUGCUACUUCAGUAUAAUCAAAAUAAUGGUGGGAACUUUGCGCUGCUUUUGCGCUCAAGGACGAAGCACGGCAGGUUCUCAAGAAAGCCAAUUAUUGCUUGUAUAAUUAAUAGAAACAUAGGUUGCUGCUUUUUCACUUCUGAAAUGUUAAAAAAAAACAAGUUUUAAAGUGUAAACCUAGAUAAUGCUUUAAUAAAAGCUACCACAACAGGACAGACGGCGCUGUUUUGCCUGAGCGAGCGGCAGCCCUCUACUGCUGUGCUUCGGCACAAUUCAUCUCGUGUGAUGAGCUUACUUUCGGCCCUGUCAUAAGAUAAACUACAACAUUUGGCGGCCGAACAGGGACCUGAAGGUAAGUAAUCGCGUGAUCGCGGGACCGAAGGGGAAAUUGGUCCGCUCAGAGUAAGCAAAACCUUUGGCAACAGUAGAGUAACUGUAAUGGGGAAUUCCCAUUCAGUAGAAUUUCAAUACAUUAAACUCCUAAAACAGUUAUUAUGGAGUUCAGGAGUGAAAGUGAAACCAGAAUCUUUUGAUGAAUUGUUUGCGCUGGUACGUAAACAUUGUUACUGGUUUCAAUCUACUGGUCAUAACCAGUUAAAUUUAAAAGUUUGAAAACAGGUUAUGCGAGCCUUAAGAAGAGCUCAUCAGCAUGGAGACCCUAUAUCUGUCCGUGUUUGGUCUCUUUGUAAAUUAAUUUCCCUUGCCCUGGAACCAUUACAAUCUGAGACGGAAAAUGAAAAUGGGGCGCAUCGUCAGCGUCCGAAUUCUGCUCCCGAUCAUUCUGCUGCUUUUCGUACUCUGUUUCGUGAGUCUCCUAUAGAGGACCUUCCUCCGCCUCCUCCUCCCCUUGUGUCUAAGACAGGAGAGGAUUUUUCAGAUUCCAGUAUGAAGGGGCUUUUUCUGACGAUGAUAAAGGUUAGGAGCAGACUAACAAACAAAAUGAGAUGCCACUUUCUCAACAGAAUGAGAUUUCUGAUAUACUUUCAAAGUUAAAAAAAUUUGAUGGUUAAAUUGGAAAAAAAUAAAAAUAAUGCUAGCACUCCGUCAUAUCAGGAGCCAUGUCCUACUAUUCCUUCGGCUCCUCCUUUAGAAUUAGCAGCUUAUCCUGUUGGAGCCUCUCGUCAGUUUCACUUUCCUCUAAAACCUAAAUCUAAUAGACUAUUGUUGGAAGAAGAGAUGAAUACGGAAGAAAAGCAAUAUUCUGAAUCAUUUUUUGCUUUCCCUAUUGUUAGACAAGCUAUGCCUGCUAAUGAUCAAUUUCCGAAUGGAUAUAUGAACGUUAAAUAUAACCCUCAUAAUGUAAAAAUUUAAAAAAUGCUAAAAGAAGCCAUUAAUGCAUAUGGGAUGCAUUCUAAUUAUGUUCAAGGUCUUUUGUUUAGGUAUGCUUCCAAAAACAUAUUAAUUCCUCAGGAUUAAAAGGCGCUUGCCAAGACUACUACUUGGUGGAAAGAAGAAGGCACCUCCAUUGACCUGGGGCCAAAUAAAAAAGUUUGCAGACACUGCCAAAAAUCUUGUCAUUUCACAGGGUAAACCCCUCACUAGCACCAAUCUUUUUGUAGCCAUGUUGGCAAUGUUGUCUGCAAAAGUAAUAAACAUAUCAGCCAAUGAGGUAAAUUGUACUAACCAUACUUAUUGGACUUAUAUUCCUAACCCUCCUCUUAAUAUAGGGGUUACCUAGUGGGAUGCCCCAAUUCUUGUAUAUGUAAAUGAGUCUGGAUGGUUGCCUGGUCCUUUUGAUGAUAGAGGCCCUUUGAAGCCGGAAGAAGAAGGAAGGAUAAUAGAAAAUUACACGGCCUCUCACUGUUGUGGCCUCUCCCGUUGCGGAGCAACAGGCUCCGGAUGCGCAGGCCCAGCGGCCAUGGCUCACGGGCCCAGCCGCUCCGCGGCAUGUGGGAUCCUCCCGGACCGGGGCGCGAACCCGUGUUCCCUGCAUCGGCAGGCGGACUCUCAACCACUGUGCCACCAGGGAAGCCCUCUAGUAUAUCUUUUAACAUAUCUACUGAAAGUUUGUAUAUCUUACGAGCUUGGACAGGUCUUUGGCUUCCUGUCAAUCUUGGAAGGAAAUGGCAAAAAUCUCUUCCUAUGACUGUUUUACAAUAUUUAACUGAUACAUUAAAAAAAAGUAAAAGAUUUAUAGAAAUGUUGAUUGCAGCUGUCAUGGGUAUUAUAGCCAUAACAGCUUCUACUACAGGAUUGCUAAUGCUCAUUAUAAUAAUAAUCGUAUGUUUAAUUAUAGUCCGACGACGAUUGAAAGUCACCCGCCAUACAACAUCGCAACAAGCUGCUGUGUUUUCCUUGAUGCUGCACAAGCUGCAAAAUAAUUCCAUGUAGUUUAGCAUCGAGAGUAAUGCUGCCGUGUUCUCCUUGAUGCUGCAAAAAUUACAAAACAGAAAGGGGGAAAUGUAGUGGAAUAACUGAGGACAUGGAAAGGAGACAUGACCCAUGAGCCCCCCCCCCCGCUACAAACUGGGGGCUGACGAAUAAGCCAGAACUACAAACAAUCCUGAUUGCUUUGAGCCCCCCCCCCCAGCAAACCGGGGGCAUGUGAAUAAGCCAGAGCUGUGAACAGUCCUGAAUGCUUUGAGCCCCCCCCCGCCCCCCCCCCGGCAAACCGGGGGCCUGCAAAGAAGCAUUGAGUGCUUUGGGCACUGAUCCAUGAGAUGUCCUCAGUCUAAUCAGAGUGGUGGGAACGCAAGGAAACGUCCUUGUGCUACUUCAGUAUAAUCAAAAUAAUGGUGGGAACUUUGUGCUGCUUUUGCGCUCAAGGACGAAGCACGGCAGGUUCUCAAGAAAGCCAAUUAUUGCUUGUAUAAUUAAUAAAAACAUAGGUUGCUGCUUUGGCACUUCUGAAAUGUUAAAAAAACAAGUCGUAAAGUGUAAACCUAGAUAAUGCUUUAAUAAAAGCUACCACAACAGGACAGACGGCGCUGUUUUGCCUGAGCGAGCGGCAGCCCUCUACUGCUGUGCUUCGGCACAAUUCAUCUCGUGUGAUGAGCUUACUUUCGGCCCUGUCAUAAGAUAAACUACAACACUCCUCAAAGGCAGGAAUGUCUGCUCAACCAUAAAGAUCAAUUUUUUCUUCUCGAUGCCAGCGAUGUAACUCCUUAGACGAUAACAUUCUUAAUUCUUUCCUAAUUUUGUAAGGGGUCAUGGUGACCUGGUGCUGCUUCCUAUGUGCAGAUCUGGACUAUGUAUCUUUGGUGAACUUUAUGUAAGAUGUCAGUGUGUCAUUUUGAUGUACGACCCUUUGUCUCAAAAAUGUAUAUAACUUCUAACAGGCGGAAUAGUCCUCAGAGUUUUCUGAACAACUUCUGUGGUUCUAAUCCUCAGGUUGGCUCGAAUAAAAUUCUCUAUUUCUCCUUUA